UAAUACGUAGGUGGCAAGCGUUGUCCGGAAUUAUUGGGCGUAAAGCGCGCGCAGGCGGUUAUGUAAGUCUGAUGUUAAAGCCCGGGGCUCAACCUCGGUCCGCAUUGGAAACUGUGUAACUUGAGUGCAGAAGAGGAAAGUGGUAUUCCACGUGUAGCGGUGAAAUGCGUAGAGAUGUGGAGGAACACCAGUGGCGAAGGCGACUUUCUGGUCUGUAACUGACGCUGAGGCGCGAAAGCGUGGGGAGCAAACAGGAUUAGAUACCCUGGUAGUCCACGCCGUAAACGAUGAGUGCUAGGUGUUGGGGGUUUCAAUACCCUCAGUGCCGCAGCUAACGCAAUAAGCACUCCGCCUGGGGAGUACGCUCGCAAGAGUGAAACUCAAAGGAAUUGACGG
RNAcentral lists this ribosomal RNA (396 nucleotides) under uncultured bacterium. RNAcentral's name for it is "bacterial SSU rRNA". It matches the Rfam family "Bacterial small subunit ribosomal RNA", at positions 521 to 916 of the family's 1533-position model. The record is from RNAcentral.